Molecule: ribosomal RNA, 468 nt
Filed under: uncultured bacterium
Lineage: Bacteria
Description: partial 16S ribosomal RNA
Rfam family: Bacterial small subunit ribosomal RNA
Source: RNAcentral
GAUGAACGCUGGCGGCGUGCUUAACACAUGCAAGUCGAACGGUGAAGGCGGAGCUUGCUCUGCUGGAUCAGUGGCGAACGGGUGAGUAACACGUGAGCAAUCUGCCCCUGACUCUGGGAUAAGCGCUGGAAACGGCGUCUAAUACUGGAUACGAGCUGCGAAGGCAUCUUCAGCAGCUGGAAAGAACUUCGGUCAGGGAUGAGCUCGCGGCCUAUCAGCUUGUUGGUGAGGUAACGGCUCACCAAGGCGUCGACGGGUAGCCGGCCUGAGAGGGUGACCGGCCACACUGGGACUGAGACACGGCCCAGACUCCUACGGGGGGCAGCAGUGGGGAAUAUUGCACAAUGGGCGAAAGCCUGAUGCAGCAACGCCGCGUGAGGGACGACGGCCUUCGGGUUGUAAACCUCUUUUAGCAGGGAAGAAGCGAAAGUGACGGUACCUGCAGAAAAAGCGCCGGCUAACUACGUG